AUGCGUCGCCUCAGAGCUGCUGCGAUAAUAGUUGCUGACCCGCGGAGAGCGACGGGACUGGAGGGACCCAGAUGGCGUGAGGCGGCGGUGACCAGGGCGAGGGCCUGUCUGUCUGCCAGACUGACAGCAGCUCGGUGCCACAGGCUCAUUAUCAGGCAGCAGCCGACGACGGGCCGGCGGCCUCCAGACGACCGCGCAGCUGACCGCACGCAUGUAAACAUGCACGUAGACACGCACACAGAAAUACACACGUAAACACACACACGCACACACACACAUACACACACACACACAGAAAUACACAUGUAAACACACACAUAAACACACACACAGAAAUACACACGUAAACACACACAUGAACACACACAUGCACGCACACACAGAAAUACACACGUAAACUCACACAUGAACACACACACGCACGCACACACAGAAAUACACACGUAAACACACACAUAAACACACACACACACACACACACACACACACACACACACACACACACACACACACACACACACACACACACACACACACACACACACCACAGUGCACAGUGGCACAUUACUUAUAGAGCAAACUAGAGUUCGGAGGCAUUAACACACUUUGAGUGUGAUCCUUACGCCAGAAGACCAAGGACGAGGACAAAAGUGCACACUGCGCAGGUUUGUCUCCCAGAUUAAUGACUGCGUAGAAGCCGUGCGUGAGGUUCGGUCUGUUUCCAGAGACAUCCGAGCAGAUUCCCCAGUGCUUGGACGACGGGACGCCUGAUACCAUUCAAACAGAUGGUGCCGCGCGUACGGUGGGGAGUACAAACAGAAACAGGAGAACAGCACGGAGCUAAAAAUAGUUUCAUAAGGACGACGUGGUUUACUGAGCGGAGUUGUGAUUCUACAAAGACGUCUCAGACACAGAGCCGCUUUUGUAUUUGGAAACAGUCAGAAUAAGAUGGAGAAGUUGAGAUGGGAGUCACCAAAGGCCGUGUUGGGUGAAAGGUACUCCACCCUGGCUAAUUUACUGCACCCGUUGACCCAGAUUAGCUAGCUACAGCUAGCUACAGCUACAGCUAGCUAAGUAGAAAACAGCUGAUCUCCAGGUCUAAGCUGAUGCUCAUUUACUAACAGCUGUUGUCAUUGAACACUGCAAACUGUGAAUUGUGGCCCCACACAUACGCCUGAGAGCUCCUCAACCAGCCAGUAAUUGCUGAUUUUACCAUCACACGUCAUUAUCACCAAUCUGAACAUUCAAGAUUUUUCAAACCAACUGAAUCCUGUUUGCCAGUCUUCACUUUCUCUGUUCGUACUCUUCUGACACAAGGCUUUUCUCGGCUGCAGCACGUCUGAUGUUUGUGCGACCCACAUUCGGACACAUCUGCCGUGAGGAGCAGUGGCCCCUGCUUGACUUCCACCGACUGGGACGCACAAAGGAGCUGCUGGCCACAGGAUUCAUGACAGCAGCAGCAGAGUGUCAAAUAAUGCCAGCAUCAUCCUUUAAACCUUCUGAAAUGACUGUUUCUGGCCCCUCCCCCAGAAGUUAAUCCCAACCAAUGAGAGCCCUGCGUUCUCCUGCGCAUUCCCAGCUGAAAGUUCAUUGCGCAGAUGGACGCGCAGACCCUCCGCAGCCUCCUCCAUGUGUUCCCUCUUUGUGCCACAUAUUAUAAGCCCGGUGUUUGUUGACUGUGUGCUGUAAACUGCCGCAUUACAGAUUGUCGACUGAAUGUGAGUCACAGACAAAUCCUGGCGUCCCCCGUUGCUCCGCUGAGCUGAGCUCGCGAUGAUGUCAGCAGAGCGGCAGCUAAUCAGCCAGGCUCGCUCUUUGAAACGGCUCCAAGCCCGAAUCGGAGCCCAGACACAUUCCUGCAGCACACGAUUCACAUGCACAAGCCCGGCUUAUGCAAAUCACCAGAUGUAUGCAGUCAUGCACGGGCCGACACACACAAGCGCAAGUUCAGGAAGUGAAGUCCAACGUGUUUAAAGCACGCCGACACAUUAACGGUGAUGGACACACGCAGCUGUGGGCCCAGAGCGGCAGCAUCAGGCCUGCUGCUGACUCACAGCACCUGAGGGCCUUCCUGCCCUACAAUAACACGUUUUCAUAAUCAUCCUUCCUGCGGCUAAUAACCUUUCAGAGGCUGAGCUGCAGCUACUGUGGCGUUGGAGUUAAACAAGUGCCUCAUCCGCACCUUUAACAUAUUAACCGUAACCUGCUACUCACACACAAAUAAAGGCACCAGUGGGAUUUGAGCUUUCGCA
Molecule: long non-coding RNA, 2252 nt
Filed under: Betta splendens (Siamese fighting fish)
Lineage: Eukaryota; Metazoa; Chordata; Actinopteri; Anabantiformes; Osphronemidae
Description: lncRNA (ENSBSLG00000020622.1)
Source: RNAcentral